CAGUCGCCGCGGUAAUACGUAGGUCCCGAGCGUUGUCCGGAUUUAUUGGGCGUAAAGGGAGCGCAGGCGGUCAGGAAAGUCUGGAGUAAAAGGCUAUGGCUCAACCAUAGUGUGCUUUGGAAACUGUCUGACUUGAGUGCAGAAGGGGAGAGUGGAAUUCCAUGUGUAGCGGUGAAAUGCGUAGAGAUGUGGAGGAACACCAGUGGCGAAGGCGACUCUCUGGUCUGUAACUGACGCUGAGGAGCGAAAGCGUGGGGAGCGAACAGGAUUAGAUACCCCCGUAGUCCCUGUCUCUUAUACA
RNAcentral lists this ribosomal RNA (301 nucleotides) under uncultured bacterium. RNAcentral describes it as "partial 16S ribosomal RNA". It matches the Rfam family "Bacterial small subunit ribosomal RNA", at positions 509 to 808 of the family's 1533-position model. The record is from RNAcentral.